AACGAACGCUGGCGGCAUGCCUAACACAUGCAAGUCGAACGAGACCUUCGGGGCUAGUGGCGCACGGGUGCGUAACGCGGGGGAACCUGCCCUUAGGUUCGGAAUAAGUCCCCGAAAGGGGUGCUAAUACCGGAUAAUGUCUUCGGACCAAAGAUUUAUCGCCUUUGGAUGGGCCCGCGUUGGAUUAGCUAGUUGGUAGGGUAAAAGCCUACCAAGGCGACGAUCCAUAGCUGGUCUGAGAGGAUGAUCAGCCACACUGGGACUGAGACACGGCCCAGACUCCUACGGGAGGCAGCAGUGGGGAAUAUUGGACAAUGGGCGAAAGCCUGAUCCAGCAAUGCCGCGUGAGUGAUGAAGGCCUUAGGGUUGUAAAGCUCUUUUACCCGGGAUGAUAAUGACAGUACCGGGAGAAUAAGCUCCGGCUAACUCCGUG
This 433-nucleotide ribosomal RNA is filed under the name uncultured bacterium. RNAcentral describes it as "partial 16S ribosomal RNA". It matches the Rfam family "Bacterial small subunit ribosomal RNA", at positions 29 to 507 of the family's 1533-position model. The record is from RNAcentral.